UGGGGAAUAUUGGACAAUGGGCGCAAGCCUGAUCCAGCAAUGCCGCGUGUGUGAAGAAGGCCUUCGGGUUGUAAAGCACUUUUAUCAGGAGCGAAACGCUGUCGGCUAAUACCCGGCGGAACUGACGGUACCUGAGGAAUAAGCACCGGCUAACUUCGUGCCAGCAGCCGCGGUAAUACGAAGGGUGCAAGCGUUAAUCGGAAUUACUGGGCGUAAAGCGUGCGUAGGCGGUUUCUUAAGUCUGCUGUGAAAUCCCCGGGCUCAACCUGGGAAUGGCAGUGGAUACUGGGAGGCUAGAGUGUGUCAGAGGGUGGUGGAAUUCCCGGUGUAGCGGUGAAAUGCGUAGAGAUCGGGAGGAACAUCAGUGGCGAAGGCGGCCACCUGGGACAACACUGACGCUGAGGCACGAAAGCGUGGGGAGCAAACAGGAUUAGGAUACCCUGGUAGUCCACGCCCUAAAGCGAUGCGAACUGGAUGUUGGUCUCAACUCGGAGAUCAGUGUCGAAGCUAACGCGUUAAGUUCGCCGCCUGGGGAGUACGGUCGCAAGACUGAAACUUAAAGGAAUUGACGGGGUCAUAGCUGUUUCCAUG
This 591-nucleotide ribosomal RNA is filed under the name uncultured bacterium. Its description in RNAcentral is "partial 16S ribosomal RNA". It matches the Rfam family "Bacterial small subunit ribosomal RNA", at positions 355 to 1378 of the family's 1533-position model. The record is from RNAcentral.